CCAAGCGGCCAGUGCACAUGUCGUCCAUGACGCCCAAGCAAAUCAACCAGCAUAUGACGCCUAAGGGGUCCCAUGAGUUGAAGCUGCCCAUAGAUACUAAGCGGCCUAUGCUGCUCAUUUGGCCCAUGGCAUCCAAGUGGCUCAUGGAGCCUAAGGCUGCUAAAUGACACAUGUUGCCCAUGUUUCCCAUGGCUACCAAUAAGCACAUGCCGCCCAUGCCGCUCAUUUGGCCUAUCAAGGUUCAGGGAUUAGGGUUCAAGGUUUAGGGUUUAGCGUUCAGUUUUUUUUUCUAGAAACGAACCUUACCCGGGUCUCCCAUCUCCCAUGACAACCAGCGGUUGAGCCGCAUACCCCCAAGCCUUAUCAUAAAUAAACAAAAGAAAUACAAGAAGACAAACAUAAACCUUACCUUCGAUCCUAUAGUGGCUCAAAGUUAACUAGCCUACUAAGGCCGGUCGACUCAUCCCGAAUACUUGAAAUAAACCUAGAUCUAAGCAGCUAGAAGAGAGGACUUCUCUCAGUACAAUAUAAACUAGGAAAACUUAAAUAAGGGAGACUCUCCCCUUAUAAAUUAAAAAGAAAAUCAAAACAAAACUAAAUCACUUUAUAAAAGCUAUAAACAAAAGAAAAUAGCGUAGAUGAAGAAGAUAAGAUGGAGUAAAAGGAAACAAGUGGGAACAUAUUCAAGAAAAUCUAACUCCAAGUGAUUCUAAGGUGGUUUCUUUAUGCGUUUCAACUUUCUUCGUCUGAAAUUAAUCAUUGCCAUCUUGUCCAGCAUAUACUAACCUCUAAUAUCAUGUGCGAACUGAUGAUAAGUAUGGUACUGCUCCGUAGAAUUGAUCAUAUGACUCUGCUUGAAAAGAGUAUCUUCUGGAUAGUUUGCUAUAAAAAUAAUCAAGGAGGUUGAUCAAAUCCUGAAGCUCAGUGAUGUAAUGGAUAAGCUUCUAAGGAGGUGAACCUUAGAAGAAACAAUAAUCACCCAAGCAAAAAGCCAACAGAAGCCUUUUCCAUCAAAUCUGAGAAUGUAAGCUAUGUUUCCUACAUCUGCAGAGCCUUUUCCAUCUUUUUGCUAAUGUUUGGCUUCUUUUAACUUUUGAAUUCUUAUUGUGCUUGCAGUAUAUCAUUUGUUUCCUUUGGGAAUAAUCAAUUUUUUUUUUUUUGCUUGGGUGAUUAUUGUUUCCUCUAACCUUCAUAUGAUAUUAUGUAGAUCAAUAUAAAAAGUUUGUACCAAUUAACGUGAAAUCCCCGUGCAAUACACGUUAAAAAAAUUAGUAUAAAUUAGUAUAUAUAGAGAGAGAAUGUGUACUUUAUCUGUUCACUUUUACUUUUCAUAUUUUGACUUGACACCUCCACUGAGAAAAAUAAUUAUUACAUGGCUAUUUUACCAAAAAAAUCCCUAUUAAAUGAUGUACUAUUGUGUUUUGAAAUAAAUUUGAGAAAAAAUAAUUAAUGGUAAAACAUGAAAAAAAAUUUGUCAAAAAUGACAAGCAAAAAUGAAAAUUAAAUUACAAAAAUAGUGACAAGUAAAUUCAAAUAGAGGAAAUAACUAGGAAAAGAAACAGCCCCUAUAUAUUAAAAGAACAUUAAAGCACUUCAAAACUGUAUAGGCCUUAUUUGCUAUGUUGCAACAGUUAUAAUUUAUUGGAUUGGGAGUGUUCUGAUAAGUCUCCUCACCUGUUUUAAUGCCAUUGAAACGUUCACUUGCUUUAUUCAGAUGUAAGUCAUCUGGUUCAUUACAAGUUAUCAAUACACUAAUAGUAGUUGUACAUGUUUACAAGUUGGCUUUUCUUACCUCACCUUUGCUUAAUGGCAAUUUGGCUCUUCAAAGGUUCAGUAGACAGGCACAAUAUUGCAACUUUGAGCUAGAUGGAGAUGGAGCUUGGGAAUUAUCCUACCAAUUGUAGUGAGCUUAGUUUGCUAAUUGCUAUACAUGGAUUAUAAUAUCCAAUCUAAUCUCAUUUUGAUACAAUCCACUCCCCAAAAGCUAGCUAAUGGAGUGAGAGCUUAAGGCUAUAUAAGCCACACAUCAGUUACUUAAUAGAUGUGGGACUCAAGUCUCAUUCGCAAUAAUUCAAUAACAAACCACAACGCUCUGCAUCCAUCGUCCUCAAUGGUUGUGCGC
This 2122-nucleotide long non-coding RNA is filed under the name Capsicum annuum. RNAcentral describes it as "long non-coding RNA (CANN_LNC018024)". Lineage: Eukaryota; Viridiplantae; Streptophyta; Magnoliopsida; Solanales; Solanaceae. The record is from RNAcentral.